GAGGUUUUUUGGUUGUUGUUGUUUGUUUGUGUGUUUUUGUUUUGUUUAGUUGUUUUUUAAGUUUUGUUUUGUUUGUAACUAAAUACUAAAUCUCCAGUUAUUUCCAAUUGCUUGCCAUUGCAGGCAUCUUCAGCUAGGAGUCUUGGUCACUGUGAGCAAUCUGUAGAUCCAGGCACACAAGAUGCAUUCCACUUUUUGACUUUUCAACAUCCAUGUGUUUCCCCUUCUCAUGCAUCUCAUCUCUUGCGCACUAUGGGGAAAUACUCCCUGAAAAAUGAUCCUUAAUCCAAAUAUUUGUCCAAAUUCUGAUUUUCCAUGCCUUGUAGCUGCACCAGUACACACUAUAACUCUGAAUGCAAUGGUUUUAUACCAAGUCCUGCGUGGGUGCAUGAAGACAUUGAAUAACACUGUGUCUCAUCUUUCAUGCCACAUUGUUCUGCAUCAUUGGUAAAAUAAGCCUUGCAAGAAAACGUCUGCGCUCAAAACAGAUGGCAUAAGGAGCAGGUAAGGGUGCUGAGCCCAUCCAGCAGUGCCCAUCUGCUGCUGCUUACUUUGUUGUUUCUUCCCCUGCUGCCCUUGGUGCUAUGAGCAGCCUAGGAAUCAUCAUUAUGGCAAUUCUUAUUUUCUGAUACUAAAAAUAAGAAUUUCAGUGUUUCUGCUGUCCAUGUUUUAAGAAGCAGGCAAAUGAAGUUCACUUUUUAGUAUUAGAAAUUUCAGUUCUCCAUUUUUGUAAGCUAAUGAGAAUUCAUCUGCAGCAGCAGAGGUAAACAUCUUUUUUUGAGGGAGCAUGGUGUGAAGGGUCUGUGCCUGCUGUUUUGUCCUUCAGAUGACACUCUCACACUGAUUGUCAGCAGUACUGUCAUUUAGAAGGAAGGAAGAUUUUAGCUGUCUGGAACAAAAACAUUUAAGUCUCUGAUGCUGGAUUUAGCAGCCUGACUUCUGAUGACCCAGGGAUUUUUGGCCCCAGCCUUGACCUUCGCAGUUUGUUUUCAUGCAGGCCAUGAAGACACAUUCAUGUAUGAGAAUGACUCACAAGUAUGUUGUAGAGUGAUCUGCUUAUUGGAUUGUGUGCAUUGUGAGUGAGAAAUCUGCGACAUAGUUGUGCUGACCUUGCUCCAGGGAGUAAUCCUUUUGACUAGCGGUUAAACACCAGGUGAAAUACAGAUUGACAUUGCUGGCAUGAAUGAAGCUUUCCAGAUAGGAACAGACAAAUAGGAAGUAUUUAAAAGUUCUAAAUUAUUAAUUUGGUUCUUACUCGUGUUUAUUUAUAUGAUGUGCUGUUUAACAGAAUCCUAAGUCAUAUCAAGAGCACAUCUAGAUUGUUUUAUACAAUGCAAAAACUUCAUUUAAUUUCGUUUAUUGUUUUUUGACUUGUGAAAUGUCAAGCUAACCUGCAUGAAGUACUGCCAGUUUAGCAGUUGUGCUGAAGAACUUAAUGCCUGUCAACUUUCAUGGAACACCUGCAGCAGCAGUGAGACAUUGAUGAGCAGGAGGACACUUUGCACCUUCUGGAAUGAGUCAAGUGUUCACCCUUUUGCCUUUCAGAAAAACUAAUGGGUUUACCUCUGUGCAGCAGAUAAAUAAAGUUUAGAGAAAUCUUCCUGAGUUUGUAAAAGCAGGGUGAGUCUGGAAGCCCUGAUAUUAAUACAGAAUUGCAUUAUUACAGAUGUUAGACUGACCAUGUGGAGCAGGUUAGCUUGUUCAUUUACUUCUAAUAUCCACAGAGCACCUAAGAAGGAGAAAUUACCACAUUUGAAUGUUAACAUGGUGCUGCAGAUCUGUCAUACAUCCUGAAGCUGGGAAGAGCUGAAACGUGUUUUUCCAGAAAUGGGCAACAAAGUGCUGUGCCACCAAAUGGUCCUUUUUUCUUUAGGCAUUCAGACUCCUUUGCCAGUAGUGUUGUGCCUGUGUGACUGACAGAAUAUGGCUUCCUCCACAUUUAUGUACAGUUAUAAAACUACUAUAGUCACUUUGGGUGAUACAGAUUUGACAGUCUGGGGCAUUUAAACACAUUUGUUUUAAAAUAGCGUGAGCUUUGUUUCCGCAUGACUGCAUUCAUUGCAUAAUAUGGCUCUUGUGAGGCACAGUCAAAACAGCUUUCAGAAAGUAAUAAUUUCUUAGGGAAAGAGAUUAACAUAAAUUCUGGGAGUGGCCACGUCUGAUGUUCCUUUUGAAACAACUGAAUAAAUGUGACUGACAUUUAAAUAGUAUUUAAAUAUUAAUGUGGUGAUUUGAACCAAAAGCCUGCAGUAUGGUUUAUUUUCUACCAUUGUAUUCUGCUUUCGUGAUUAACUUUGUCUCAAUACCCAGACCAAAUAACCCAAUUUACACAUUUCUAUGUAUAUGUUUGAAAAAAUGAGAGAAAAAUGUUUGAUAUUGGAAGAAACAUUUGAAGAAAUGACUUCCACUCCAUUCAUCAUUGUCAGUAGAUCGUUAGAUGCCAUUACUUUAGGUGGAAAGUACUAUGCUUCUGUCUUUAACAAGGCAACCUGUGAAUGGCGCAGCAAGAGAAUGACUCUGCGGGUUAAUAAGAAGCAGAUGAGACUCCUGCCUCGCUAUGCUGUUGUCCACAAAGUUCUGUGGUCUUCCUAGGGCUUCUGUGCUAAUUCAGAGCCUGUCUACACAGGUUCUCUUGUGAAAAAGAGAAUAUUUGGGUUCAUCUGCCAGAAUGUUUUUUUUUUAAUUCCUUAGUCAGAAGUAUGUAAAAUGUUUUUCUCUGUAUUGUAUGACUCAGUCCACUUACUAAACAAACUGCAACUAACCAAUUUUUGCUGUUCUCUGUUGAUAUUAAUAUUUUCCUUAAUCGCUGGCACACUUUGUAUUCAUAGCAUGUUCCUGACUGUCCUGCAGUGUUCUGUGGCAGCUGUGUUAGCUUUUCCAGUGAUAGUACAUAACCUGUCUUUUCCAGCUGACUGUGGUUGAAUCUGUAGCAGUGGGUCUGCUUUUCUCCUUCCAUGUUUCCUCGCAUGCAAAGGUACAUGUGGGAAUUGGCCUGGAAAGCUGGGCACCGUUAUAUUUUUCUUAGUGCAAACGCUGCACCGUGUGUUGCUUUUGUGGAACUUAAUGAUCUCCCUUCUCAUGUAGUGUGGAAACUUGUGAGCAGUCUGUGGACAGUAGAACAAGGGUGGUUUGCAGGGUGGUGUGGCUCUGAGGAUAGAGCCUAGACAGGCUGCUAGAAACCUCUGCUCGAGAGGCAGGCACCGCUGGCAGUCUGUUGGCCUCUCUCAGUGUGGAGCACUACCUUUUGGGAUUAAGGAAAGGGAGCAAAAUUUUGAUCUGGAAAUAAAGACUAUUUUUAGAAAACAAUACUUAGCUGUAGAGGGGAUUAUUUCCGCAGCCGGUAGGGAAAUUCCUGCUCUUUGUGCACUCUAGCUGAUUGCCAGAUACAUUAUUCACAUUUGGCAUCAUUCCCAUGCGUCCUUUUAUUGAUAUUACAUAACUGAAAGGGUGAAAAUUGACUUUAAUCUAAAUUGCUCUUUAGUUGGAUACUGUGUAACCCUUCUGAGUUGCUGAUGGCUUAAACAGUCUGCGCCAGUUUUAAACCCUAUUUCUAAAUCGGAUUGGAGGAGUGGCUGCUUUUUGUACUAAAAAGAUCAUGGCUUUUUUUUUUUUUUAAGAUUUCUCAAACAUCUGGAAAGUUCCUGUAGUAACUUUCCAACUGAUGAAUACACUUUCCAUUUUUAUAUAUGUAUAUAAAAGUUGGAGCACUAAAUGAUACCCAUCUCUAAGUUUUCUCCCAGCAAUGUCUGGAGGCAAAGAAUACCCAUAGAUGCUGUGUUCAAAACACAGCAUGCACCAAAUUUUUGUUUCAUAUCUUGACUCUCAUCUUAACUGGAAUUAUUGCAUAGCCAGGAAGAACUGGACGCUCUUGGUCACUCAUGCAAAACUGUCUUUGAGUUUUAAAUGUGUCCUCAUGACUAGCAUACUGAUUGAUAGCAUGCUGCAUAAAGUGCUGGAGCAGCAUAACCAAUUCUAUUUGAAGAAGAUUUUGCAGAGGUUACUGUGCAGAAAAUUCUGUACUUUUACAUAGCUCCUAAUUGCAAAUGGAAGGGAGGUGCUGGGUUGGUCUGACAUGGUUCUUGUGAAGGAUGGAGACUUGAGGAGCUGGAACAUUGACUCUCAUGACCCAGUAGUGUACCAGUGAAGUCUUUGGCUUUUAAAAGCUCGACAAGAGGGACGGAGUUGAAAAUCUGCUUUGUGGGCCUGCUGCUCUGUGAGAACAUGUGAAGAGAAGCUGUAUGGGCAGCAUUUAGUGGGAUGUGCUCUGACUCACGGCCCUCUUACCAGUGAAAGUCUGUGGUAUGUUCAGGGACAGCCAAAACAUCCUCCAAACCUCUUACCUUAGAACUAAAAGGUCUUCCUUCUGCUGCUUUCCAGAAACUUCUGUGGCUCUGAUUCUCUUCUCAGGCAGUGGCUCCUGAUGGACAGUGGUGGUACUUAUCCUUUCUUAAGUAUAUGUAGAUAAUCAGACGAAGGAAAAUUGAGCUACAGCGUGGCUUUAUUGCAAUGAUGUUUGCCACAGCACAAUUACCUUGCUUUCAGUGCUUAUCUAAUCCUGCACUUAAUCUUGGAGACAAAAUAGUAGUGUUUUUAUAAUCUGAGGUUAUAGCACAUCACAGGAAUCCAUCCAAUCUGUCAUAGAAGUGCCAGAAGUUAAAACUAAUUAUUUUUUUCCCUCCCCAAGCAGAGAAAAAAAAAAUUGCUAUUUACUGUGCUUACAUUUUUCAUAAAAUUUCCCUUUACGGAGGCUCUACAGACCUGCAUGGUAGAAAAUUGAAAAUUAUAAGUGGUUGUUUGAAGUUCAGCAUAUUUUCAGUUUGUCUGUAGAUGGAAAUCACUGUGAUGGACCUGUAGAGAAUGAUCUGUGGGUAUGUAUUUGCACUUGAUGUUCCUGUGUCCGUGAUGGAGGACGUAUCUUUAUAAAUAAACAUAUUUAAUUUUUUUUUUAUUCUGUAGACUGAAAUUGGACUGACGUAGUUGUUGCAGCGUCAUAUGGUUCACACUGAGUGCAGCAGUUUGCGCUCACCUUCUUUUCCCAUCAUCGUUUCUCCACAGAAAGGGAGUGUUAUUUGAUCCCAGCAAAGGUGCUGCUGAGGCAGCAGCAGUAUAACCUUGUGGUUUGGUGUGAUGCCAGAGGACCUUCUGAAAGAACAAGAAAUUCUCAUUUGGCUAUUGCACCUCUUACUAGAGGAAGGCUGGAGAAUUGAAUGCAUAUCUCUUUCAGAGUAGAUAGGUCCCACUAGCUGAGAUCCUUGUCAGCAUUUAUGUGAUUUUCAUCAGGCUGUGUUUUGGUCUUGUGUUCCUUGGAUUUGUUAUCACUGUCAAAAGGGGUUGCUAUGCUGAAUUCUUUGUAAGCAGAAAUUUUAAAGUAGAGAAAAAUUACUGGUUUUCCCUGCCUUUUCCUCCACAAUUAUAUGGCAGCAGACUGUUAAAAUAUUUAUAUUCCCCUAUGCCUCCAUCAUAUUUCUUGUGGAUUUGAGUUUGAUGUUUUUAAUAACUUGUGUUAUUUAUACAUCAAUUGUUACUCUUUUUGAUUGCCUAAUUUCCAGUUUCUAUUGGCUGCAAAACGUCUUUGCAUGUGAAGAGUUUAUCUAAACAUUUUGAUAUAGAGCUUGUUUUUCACCUUUGGGAUAUGAAAUUCAGUGGCUGUUGUGCAGAAACACCAGAGAUACUGUUUGUCUUUCAGUUUAAAGUGCCAUUAAGCACUAGACAUCACUUUGUUCUGCGUCUUUGCGAAAGAGUGCAGGAAACAGGUUGGAAGGAGAAAAAGUUUCGUUAGAGAUAAAAACUGGGGUUUUUUUUUCUCUAGAAAGAAAAUUUUCCUGCAAAUGUUCAUUUAGUCUUUUAUGACUUUCAGUAGACUAACAGGAUUUGCUCUUUUAAGCAACACUUAGGCAGAUAGAUAUUACUGCCGAGUUCUUUUCCAAUCUGUACACUUUUCAGCUUUAAGGUCUGUGCCAGAAAUUCCUUUUCAUGCAAAAUCAAUCUAGAUGCAGAAAACCAAUUAAUAAUUCAUAAGGUAUAAAUGUCAAAAAUAAAUGGUGUUUGCCUUUCCAGAUGAGUCACUUAGAGCUUGUCUGCCUUGGAAAGUUAUGGCAUCGUAAUCUAAGGGCUGAAUUGGAAAUGCUGCAAUUUUACAAGUAUAACUCUGCAAUGGAUGGGUUUCUUUCUGCUUGUAGAGGAACAGCUUUUCAACUUAACUGGGUUUUUUUGAAAAGGGAAUUGAGGGCACCAGACUAAGGCCUAUCCUUCCACUGCAAUGAAAGUGUGUGCACAGAACUGGCUAAAGCAUGAGAGACAACCAACUAGUGUAUUUUUCUCUACUGUUUCACUAUAUAAUUUUUUUUCCCCUGGGAAUGUUAUCUUUGUCAUCCAAACGCAGUUAGCUAAAACUGUUGGUUGCUUCAUCCCAUUUCUUGCACUGGUCAGGAAUGGAUGGAAUUUAGUUUUAUUUUCUACUGUUAUGAAAGGAAUUAAGAACUUUUAAAACAGAUCUGAGGCAUGAAGAAUGUUCUAACCAAAUGCAAACAUUUUUAGGAAUCAGAACGUUUGAAUGUGGAAAUGUGCCUUGAUGUGCACAAUAACCAUGAGUGCACAUUUACUGGCUAGACUCCAUCAUCCAAGGAGCCUUUCUCUAGUAUUAACAAAUGGAAGUUUGUCUUUCAGGAAGAGUGGUUGGAUCUUAUGUUAUUAUUUGUACUCUAGAUUUGGGUUUUAAAUAUGCACACAGUAUUCUGAGGCUGGCAGGGAAUCUUCCUUUCUCACAAAAUUGCUGAAAAACGUAUUGCCAAAUAUGAGACGAAUUCACCACUCUCGGAAGUGGAUGUGACUGCUGCAAGUUGUAAACAUAAUAUACCUUUCUUCUAGACUGUCAAAAGUAUAAAUAGGUAAAAUAUGAAUUUUUGAAGCAUGGGAAGGUGUAAUUGUCUCAGCUGAAAGCUGAGGGAAUCUUAGGUAAAUUAUAUAAAUCUUUAGCUUUUCAAUGCAGAAAAAAAUAUUUUUUUCCUCUAUUAGACUCUUUCUGUUUUGUUUCACCUGUGUAAGAUGCUGCAAAAAAAGGCAUACAGGAACAAAAGUUAAGUUUUGCAUGGUAGCAAUGGAAUUUUCUUGCUAGAGAGAGUAGGAGCCAAAAAUAUGUAUGACAUCAAAACAUAUAAAAUACCAAAAGAAUGAUAAGGUUUUUUUUGUUUGUUUUAUAAUAUUAUCAUUCAGAAUAUGUAAGUCAGGGUGGUUUUGGACUUGUGACUUUUCAAAGGCCUGAACUGGCAUGUUUUAGGAAGGCUGCUCUUUUAUAGCCAAAAAUCUGUAACACUUGAAAUAGAAUAACAAAAGCUCUACAGCUUCUGGAAAGUAUCCUAUUUUUUUAUUUAACAGUAGACUUGGGCAGAAGUAAAAUACUAGAAAGGAAGAUGAGUGAGGAUGAAAGACUGGAGAGGUCCACAACAGGGAUCCUUGAAAACUGAGCAGAGGUGCACUGUCUGCUCUGGUAUGUACGGGUGGUGACUGACUGGAGGGAGAAGGAAUGGCAGAUGUUCCUGAAGGAAGCUAGCACUUGCUGUUUCCUGCUUCAUUAGCCUGCUAGCUGCAGGAUUCCUGUUCCUGAUCUGGACACAGUGAUAACGUAUACUGUUCCAGCCCAGGAGCAAAGACAACUGUUCCCAAAGCACAAUACAGCUUAAGUAUCACCAAUGGGUUAACGAGGUCAGCAUGAAUUUAAUGGCGUCUGUCAGUAUAGGCGGAAUCAAAUGUCACUAACGAGGGGAAAAGGUAACAUUGUUUCUAAGAUGACAACCCCAGCUGUUACAGAUUUCCUGUCUCACAGGGAGAAAGAAUAAGGAAGAGGCAAUUGUCCUCUGCUGCUCUGAUUUCAGGAUAGUCUUUUAACAAGAACUGCUGGACAGCCACUGAAAAAUAAGCUUUCCAUGACUUAGUGCUUUUUUCUUUCCCUAGGGAGAGUUUGCUGUUCUGAGUAGACUGACAGAGCCUUUAUAUUUUGUGUGUGGAAAGUUUCCCCAGCGCUGGCUGCCAAAGGUUCUGCUAGGUUUCUGCUAGAUCAGCCAAGUCGCUGCAUCAGGUCGGUGACUCAUUGGAGCAGUGCGGUGCAGCCCCAGCCCUGGCGGGCAGAGCCGAGCUCCGAGCUCCCAGCUCUGGGCCAGCGAGCUCGAGCUGCGGCCCCAGGGGCUCCCGGUGACUCCAGUACCCGGCUGGGCUGCAAAGUGCACUGACACAUACUGGCUAUGCAGAUGUAUAGCUUUUUGAGAUGAAAGGCAAGGUUGUUCCAGUGUGUCUUCCUUGUCCAUAACCAUAAGGAGGGGAAUGACCCUUGUACUUCAACAAGAGAAAGCAUUGUUGCAGACUCUUGAGGUGAGUUUCAGUAUAUCUGCAAAAAAGGAGCUGUCCUUCUGCUCUGUGCUGUUAAGUGACUAAACCACAUAUGAUCUUGUUUGACAGAAGAACAUAAGUCUCUGGACAUGUGUGCAGUUGUGGCUCUUGAGGCCCAGAGAGUCUCGAGGGCAGAGCUGGGCUUUGGCUGUCUUGUUUCUUGAUGCACAGCCUGAAUGUAUUAGCCAAGAAAGGAGAUGAGCAUGCUUGGGUUGAGCUUCUGACUGGAGCUUGCUGGUUCCACUGCAGAGUCUAUUCUAAUAAUAAAAAUAAGUUUUUGAGAUAAAAACAAGUUGAAGUUUGGACGGACUUCUAUUUGAAAAUGUCUGCCAGACUAUACGAGAAAAUUUACGUGAUGCCCAGUGGCUGACCUUACACUUAUGUCUUUUGGGCCGAUAGGAUAAUUGCUCAUUUACCCUUCUCAUCUUAAGAACAAGACCACUUCCCAAAUUAUGUAUUUAAAUCAGCUAUAUGAGAUUUCUAGCAACUUUUAUAAAAUGCAGGCUGUCUUCCUGAGCAGCUUUGAAAGCUUCUCUAGAGACAUACAGAUAUGGUGCUGUUAUAUCUUGCUCUUUGUAAAAGACUCUUUCUCUCUUUUCUUCCACAGCACAUUGGAGCAAGAGAGAUUUGAAAAUUUAAUGAAGCUGCAAUAAAACAGUCUAUUCUAGUUCCAUAUUUUUCUCAUUUCUGUUUGCAGAUUAGCUAUAUGUGUGCUUAGGGAAACUUCUUGAUCUGUAAACAGAUUGACUGCUGUAGACUUUUUUUCCCCUGAUUUCGUCCUGAUAUUUCUUUAAAACCUUUGGAAAAUAUUGUUACAGUAAAUUGCAUUUCCUUUAAAUGCUAUAUUAAUUUUCUUGCAGUAAAAUUAAAGUUGGGAAGGUAAAUUAAGCAGCUGAGGGAGAAGCCGUGGAUGUCAAAUGAGCUGUUUGUUAAAGAAUGAAGAUCAGAUCAGAUCAGGAGUAUAAGUCACAGCCUUCUGGAUGGCUGAGCCAGAGGGCUCUGGGAUAGGAGUUUAGGGCUCUUGGAAGCCCUUUGGAGCAUGUGAUGGAGCAGGUAGCAGGGAGCUGCAGUAAGUGGGGAGAGUGGGAUCAGGUGUUAUCUUUGUAUGCUGUGUUUUAGUAAUUUUAUUAACACGACACUGAGGACUUAACAGAAGAGAAUGGGAUUUUUUUUCUCCUAUUCUCUAUUGCAAGGUCAUGAAUGUAGUCAUGGUACCACAGCACCCCAUGGCUGUAUCACUAUCAGAAGUCAUCAGGUGUUUGGUAUGUUCCUUGAAAGUGACUGGGUCUGUGGUUAUAGGUUUAAGAUGUGAAAUAUUGAGGCUUUAGAAGCAUUAACAAAUAUGGACAAGAUAAUGCCAGCUUGCUCCUUAGUAUUCCCAGGUCAGAGAUGAGAGUGCUUUAAAAUGCUGUUGCUCUGUUUUUGCUUUUGAGGUUUCUUGCUAUACAUUGAAGAAGAAAGUAGUAAUGAUUUCUGGUGCCUGUGCUAAGCUACAGAGAAGACUUGAGAGAAAGGUAUAGGAAUUCUGUUCUAUCAUAUCACAGAGGAACCUAAGUUUGACAGAAAGUCCCAGGGAAGAGUGGAAGUGGCAGGAGGAAAAGAUAAAGUAUGUUUACAGAUACUUUGGUUUCCUGCCACAGCCCUCCUGAGCCUGAGCCAACAAGCAAAGCUCUGCAGUGCCCUCUUCUGCAACCAUUUCUUUUCCCACAUCUCUGCUGCAAAGUGACCAGGAGGGCAGGAAAAGUGACUUUUUGCUCAUUUUCUGUGCCAUUCUUCUAUAUCUGAGGAAUUUCUGGUAGGGUUUGUGGGCUUAGUUUCCUCUGCAGCAGGUCAGGGUGAUCAAGGAACUGAGACUUAAGCAAUUAAUUUAUUGUUUUUAUUAUUGUGAGUCCUUGGCUCUACUGAAGUAAUGUGUUUGGUUAGCAGGCUGGAAAAGGUUGGGUUUGUUUUGGUACCUUAUUUGUUUUUAAACAGCAAGAGUCCUGGCAUUAACUAUUGCUCUAAAUAAUAAAACAAUGUAGUGUAGCUCUUAAUUCUUUAAUGUAAUAUUUUAAAAGAUAUAUAAAUCAUUUAAGGAAAGCAGAAAGCAUUUAUGUAUUAUCACAGGUUUUGCAAGCAAGCAGUGCAUAGUCAAGAUUUACAAAAAUUUUCCCAGUAUUUUGUUUGCAAAGGAGACUUUAUACAAAUGUACAAUGGAAGUGACCUUGUUCUUAGUAUGAAACAUUCACUAAUGCAUGUGGUAUAUGCCUUUACUGAGCACCAAAAAUCAUUCUGCAGACUAAAUUCUGCUGAUCUGCGUAUUUUUGCUCAUUUAUCUUGAGCAUUCAGAAAUAAUUUUUAUCCAAGAUUUUCAUUAUUAUUAUUAAUAACAGUGUUUUAGCAGCAUAUAAUCCCAAAAAUUAAGGAGAAAUUACAGAACCCAGGUGUUUUAAAAUUAGUAUUGCAAGAGCAAAACCUAGGGUUUCGUUAUAACUACAUGGUUUUAAGACUUAAGAGUUUUGAGGGGGAAACACACAUAACAGCAGACAAAUGACAGGUACUGCAAAGAACCAUCAGUAAUUCCUCUGAGCCAUUUUGUCUUCUUCAAGUUUACCUCCUUUGAGAGCUGUUCCAGUUUGAAAUGUGUUCUAGAUCUUUGACAGUGUGUGAUUGUGCCCCUCCCUCUUGCUUUCUUUCAGACAGAGUGAAGUAGCAGCUGACCUGAACUUCUGAGGCACUGUCUAUAUUGGAAAGUCACACAGUGCAAAAAGCUUGUGAAAAUUGCAGGAAAUAUUCCAGUUUUAGAUAGGUUUUUCUAUGUCAUGUGAAUAUUUAAAGUUUUUUUUUUCAGACAGUUGUGAAGAGCUCUCUGUUCAGCUGAUGGGUUGACUUGAGUUUUAAAUUUAGUAAAUUGAUUGACUACUACUAACUUCCUUUGCAGGCAAGGUGGUGGAAGAUGCCAGAAGAAAAGUAACAUCAUCCACACAGAAAAGAAAUCAUGUGAAUUUAUGAAUCAAGAGGGCAUUUUAAGAAAUGAUGUAAUAAAUUAAUGGAUGUGGCAGAGCAGGUUUCUUUACCUUUAUCUCAUUUUAAAGAACUAGAUUGUCUUUUUUGAGACACAGAAAACACGGGACUUUAAAGAGACGAGGAUGGAACUCCUGAAACACUCCCUGUGAUCUCUGGUGAUCCGGGUGGCACUGCUGAAUUGCCAUCUAGGAGUGUCAUCUUCUGGAAAUCUGAGCUACUGGAUACCCUGCUGCAGCCCUGAUUGCUCACAUCUCCAAGGUUUGAAUAACUCAAACCAGGAGGCUGGUGAUGAACCACUUCUGUGCUCCAUCAUGAGUUUUGAUGUCUGCCGUAGAUGGCCUUCACUAAGAAGUGAAGGAUCCUUAACCACUUUCUUUUUGUGCACCCAGACAUAAGCUAGACAGUGAAUCAUUGUAGUAACGAAGGGGUCUGCACUGGCAGUGCAAGCUUUGCUCAGAAUUCCUCUCCCUGCUUUGCAGCACUUUUGUCUCACCAGUGUGCAAAAGAUGUGAUAGUGGAAAAGCAGCUGUAAACUCAUGAGGAAACUGUGAAUUCGUGAUCUCUGGGUAUGCCAAAGAGGGUAGCUGUUGUAAACGUAUCCCUGAUGGCAAAUGUCUAUUUAUUCUGCUUUUUUUGCUUUGUAUUUUUUCUGUAUUUUCUGAUCUGAGCCAUUGCUACCAUGCAACCAGAACCCAAUGACUAGAGUGGUGUAUGAUCUUGGCUGAUGCUGGUCUUGCUGAAGAUACAUACUGCCUAGAUCCAACUUGCUAAUUUACCCCAGUGUGCAGUGCUAGUGGGUAAUGCUACUGCCAUACCUGUUUAUUGUCAGUGGUUUGAAAUACCUGGUUUUAAAACCUCACUUUGCAGAACAAAGAUAGACUUGUGACUUCUCCUUGACAUGAAAACUUUGGUUUUGCUGUUGAUCAAGUAAUCAGUGGGACUGGAAGAUCUGAUGACUAUAAUCCACACUCAACAGGCGAAGCUCAUUGUAGAAACUGAAAUAUUUUAGCGUUGAAGAUUUAAAUGAAGAAAGUAUUGGAAUGGUAUUGGAAAGGUAAAUUUUAAGCACUGAUAAUGAGUUGAUCAUAAUUCAUCAUCGUUUUUAAAUCUGGGCUAUUCAGCUAUGCUUCCCGAAGUUCACACAAAAGCUUGAUAAAUUGUAAUAAAUACUGUUUCUCAUGAAUAAUACUCGAAUCAAUCAGGGAAUUUAGUUUUGCUAAUAUAUGUGGGUGAGAGCCAUUCUAUAUUUAAACUGAUUGGUGUACCUCCUAUUUAAUCAUAGCUUUGCUCAUGUCAUUAUGUAUCUGUCUGGUUCUGUAGAGUCAUUGUGAUCUCUGCAGUCUUGCUUGGUAGGGGCAUGUGCAUGGCAAAACUUCCAAGGCUGCAUGGACUUUUGAAGUUUUCAGAAAGCCCUCUUUGUUACAGAGAGCCAUCAUGUAAAGUGGAUAGUCUGGCUUUUUUCGCUUUAGAUCUUCCUAAGGCAAAUGUCAUCAUUGGUGUACUUUACUGUCAUGCUGCAGAAAGAAUGCUUCUCUGCACUUAUGCAAACAGCCUUUGUGAGAGCUCUGUUCCUUCUGUUUACUUGUGUUUCUGGUGCUGUUACAACUUUUAUUCCCAUAAGAACUAAUGACAUCACUGAGCGGUGUUACAAGUGAUUUCAUCCUUUAAUAUGAACUAAUCAGUAACACAGAGUUGUCCAAGGAGUAGACCACAACCUGAAUAACCUGUGUUGUAUUUUUUUCGGUGGAUUGUCCAACAGAGUUGCACACAGCAAGAUCCAAGAUCAUGCGUCUAAAUAACAACACAGAGAUUGCUUUGCCUUCAAACUGCUAUAGCUGAUGCUGCAAGGGACUGUAAAGAUUGGUGUAUCCCAGUGGAAUCCUACAGCACUCUACCUGUGUCCUCACUGCGAUGAGGACAAAACUAGAUGGUGACAGACACUUUAUACACUUCCUUCAGACUGAACAUUGUUGGCAUUGGGAUAAUGACCUUCCCAACAAGUGACAUCAGCCACUCAUUGUAAGUCUCUCUGAAGAUCUUGCACCCCCUUGGUCACCUCCCUCUGGACACACUCCUUGAGCUGAGCUCCCAGAGCUGUGCACAGAACUUGAGGUGAGGCUGCACCAGCACAAAGAGGGACAAUCACUUCUCUUUCCCAGCUGCUGAUGCUGUGCCUGAGGCACCCCAGAACACUCCAGUUGCCUUCCUGGCUGGCAGGACACUGCUGGCUCAUAUUCAACUUGCCAUCAAUCCAAACUCCCUCUUGUUUUUCCAUGAGGCUGCUUUCCAGGCUCUUGUCCCCCAGCUUGUACAUACAACCUGGAUUACCCCAUCACAGGUAGAAAAUCCAUCACUUGCUCUUGUUCAGCUUCAUGUAGCUGAUGAUUGCCCAUCUCUCUAGUUUUAUCUAUAUCUCUCUGUAAGGCCUCUCCACCUCUGAGGAAGUUCACAGCUUUUCCUCCUUUGGUAACAUCAGCAAAGUACUUAACAGACUUUUGAUUUCUGUGUCCAGGUAAUUUCAAAUAAAAACAUCAAAGAGCACUGGCCCUAAAACCAAGCCCCAUGAAGCCUACUGGUAACUGUCUGCUAGCCUGAUGUGAUGUGAUUUAGUACCCAUCUACCCAUCAGUCAAUUUCUCACCCAGCAUGUUAUAGACUUUCCUAGCUGUGUGCUGGACAUUUCAGCAGGCUACUCUGAGAGAUGGUAUUUCAAUCAUGCAUAAUGAAUCUUUCAUUAAGUGCUGUACAUUGCAUCCUCUCCAUAAUAUAACAUGUUUUAACUAUUUGUAUUCACAACAGAGCGUGAAACUUCUUUAUUCAGUACUUAAGACUGUCAAAUAAAGUUUUCCUGAGUUGUCUAUAAAAUUUGCAUUGAAUCUCACUUCUUCUAGUUCUACUCUGUGAAUUGUUUUCCUAUGUCUAACACUGCAGAGAUGACUCACCUGUGAUGGGUGAUAAUCUUGACCCCUAUAAAGUAGUUUUAUAAAAAGAAAAGUAUUUCAGUUCUUUUCUGUGCUGAGAGACAGACAGCUGCUGAUGCUCUGUCUGUCGGGUUUUGUUCAGUGACAGAGGGAAAGGGAGGCUCUAGCGAAUGAAGGGUCACUGUACCAGUAUGGAAAUAUUAGCAUGUGGCACUGAUAAAUAAUUGUGAUUGCUAUAUUAAAAACAUUCUAAACACAAAUGCUGAGAUUAAAAAAUGCAUUUUUUCAGUUGUUUUGAGGGGGGAAAAAUGCUGAUGCAUUUCCAAAUAGGGUUGCAGUUUUUAUAGGAACUUCUGACACACCACAAUAAUCCCCUUAGUGUUACAUUCAUGCAAGUAAUUAACAAUUAGUUAACAAUUAGUUAAGAAAUGAGUAAUGUGUGGUAAUACACAAAUAGUUUGACUGUAUAGUCCAAACUAUAUAGAUAACAAUUAGUCUUUCAAUAAGAGUCUUCUUUUGUGUGAUAAGAGUGCCGUGCCUUUGUGAUGUGAUGAUGGCUAAGGUUCUGACACAUACCAGCCUUAGAGACAGUCAGUGAUGCUCAUUGUCAAAAUGCCACAGCACAGCUAAGCCACAGUGACUUGUACAUUUUACUCUGCAACAGGCCUAAUCCAACUUAAUUUGGUAAAUUAAUGUAAACUUCCUUUGAGUCCUCUGCAGAAUCAAGCACUGUCAAAGGGAUUGUUCAAGGCUCCACUAUGCAGAGGAAAAUUCUUCAGAGGAAAUCUGAAGAAAGCAGAUAGAUCUGGAUGGGAGAUUCAAAAUAACUAUGUUUUGUAGGAAGGACAUAUCUAAUUAAGACAUAAAUGGAAAUAUUUUGCAGGAAAUUUUGAAUGUUCAACAACAUAAAAGAGUAAUGACUUUGUAAUUGAGCUAUAUAUAGAAAAUGCCAUUUGACAUUUUAGUCGUAUUCAAAAUACCUAAUUCUCAGUGUGCAUGCUUGAGAUUUAGGUACUUGCUAUGCCAAGUAAAGGAAUUAUCAGCGAAGUAAAAGUGAAAUGAGCUCUGAUUUAUUGCAGUCCAAAGGUAGAGGAACACUAGAAAAGGUUACCACAUUUGUCACAGCAGUUUUCAAAGAGACAGUAAAGUAAUGUACAUUGAUUUGUUGGCUUUAUGGACAAGACUAUGAACAUAUGAGCUUUUUAUUUUGAGCUUUGGCAAUUGAGAAAUCACCGCAAAAGAUAUUCAGCAGAAAAGCCAAUACUGGCCUUAAACUUGCACCAUUAUGCUAAUGAUUCCUGUCUGUGAUACAUUUCAAGAACACGUUUCUUCUAGGAUUCCCCAGAACAUUGCUGAUCUGAAAAUUGAGUCUUCCAUUGUUUUUUGUUUUCUGCUUGCUUGUGCAGACAUCAAUGAUGUUGAAACAGUGAUGCCUGUUCUGGCACUCCUAUCAAAUCCGUGGUUUUCAGAAUAGAAUGUGCUAUGUACUGGAGUCCCAGAGCAUGUUGCUCCCCUGUGACCUCUCCUUCAAAGAAGCUUUGCUUACUUUCAGCUCUUGCUUUUGUUUAUUUCAGCCUAAGGAAAAGUUCUCUGUGAAGAAGUUUGUCUUUAGUCUACUUUUUCCCUCCUUCCAGCAGAACACUAUUUAUUUUACAUUACUUUUCCAUUCAGAUACAUUUAGAAUGUCCACUAAAAGAGGGACACUCAAGGAACUGCUGUCUUGUUUUUCUCUGUUCCAUCUUUCUUUUGAACUCCCUUGACACUAGUCAUGAGGACGCGGUGAAAAAGUACUGAUUAGCAGGAAACAUCAUGAACUAAGAGAAGAAAAGUCAAACUUUUUGAGAAGUCUAUCUAGACAUAAUAAUGUUGUAGCAAACUGGAGCUGACUACAAGUGUGGCUAGUGCUUUGAACAGCUGUGUGAAUUGGGGCUCCCUGAGGGAAACAGUGACAUGGUCAGCAUGAGUUGUUCAAUAUUAUUUUCCAUUCAAACUUCACACUCUUGCAAAGGCAUAGAAAGUUAAAAACACUUUGCUGUUCAGACAUGGAAUUUUCAGGAUACAGAGAAAACAUCUACAGAGCCUUAUCUUUGCUAUCUCUUGAUCUGCUUGGAAGCAGAAGCAUUUGGGAAUUUGCAGUUAUCUGGUUCCAGCAAGACGUCACUAAAGUGAAAGGAGUUCUUUGCAUUACUUUGCCUCUCUUUGCCUUUCUGGCUAUAAAUGGAUGAACAUUCAAGACUACAUUUUGAAAUGAAAAUAUCACUUUUUCAGUGUUAAGUGGUCAGUUAAUAUGCAUCUAAACAGAAAGACUUAUUACAGUCUCAGCCAGAAACCUUGGCUCUGACUCCUGCUUAAAUGGUGAUUACUGUUGUGGCUGACUGUUGGGUGACUAAAUGAGGAACAUCCGUCACUAAAGGUGCAAGAUGGUUUAGGUUAAUCUUGGAUCUGUAGGCUCCCUGUCUGGGUUUAUUGUCAGUUUGCAUGAUGCAGAGAUAGAGGAUAGGAAGGAGCCAUUGUUUUUGGAUCAGAGUUGAUUCAUUCUGUUCAUCCCUUCAAAAAAAAUUUGUACUCUUUGUGGCUGGCUCAAGCCAGGAUGCUGACAACAGAAAAAAAUUUGCCAUUGUGUUUCUAAGAGGCACAAGUCAUUCAAUUCCUGAUGAGCUGUUCUUAAAACAUAUUUCUGCUGUAAAGAGUUUGUCAGCAUCCUCAUCUCCAGACAGUCAGAUAUGCUGUUCAGGCUGUGUCAGUAGCCUAAUUAACAUAUUUUCUCCUGCUAGGAGUUACAGCAACCAUUCUGAAAUAUUUUAAACUCAUUUCUCGAAGACCCACAUUAGUCCAUCUUUAGACUGUUGAGCAGCACAUCAGCAUUGCUAGGAAAGUUUAAAGAUGACACCUCUGGUGCCUGCAAUGUCUGUGCCUGUAUAAGAUUUAUUUCCUGUGUCUUGCACUGCAGUGUUGCCCGUGUUUGGUGUGAGGUGAGGCAGCAGGGAGCAGGGGCUGAUUGAUGGGGAGUGGCACUGCAUUGCCUGGCAGCUGGGAGCUGCUUAGUGACUUCAGCACAGCAUCGGUUCAGGCCCCCACUUAACAAAUUUCAGUUACCAUCAGUUACGAGCACUGAGGGAGAAGGGGGGCACAGGAGACACACUUCACCCUGUGCCUGGCCUUUUCCAGUUCAUUUAAGAGUAUUACAGUGGUUAUAUAAUGCAGUGUCCCGGGAGGCAUGGGCAGCAGAUAGCGUGCAGGAGGUUUCCUGACCGGAGAAAUUCUGGCUUAUGAGCUGUUAUUGGGCAGCCUUGUCCCCUACCCUCCUGAACUGAUUUAUUGUCAGAUCACAAAGCAGUACAAGCUACUUUUAUUCUCUCGAUUUUUCUGAUAGGAUGUUAAGAUUGUAUUUAGUCACAGGGUAUGAUAAGCUCUAUAUGGCUUAUCUGUAGGUUAUGUAAUGCUCCACAAACACAGGCUGCGGUCUCAGUUGGUCCUGGGCUGGCUGUGCAGGGCUUAUGCUGUAACACUAUUGCCAUGGCCCAUAUUUAUCCAUUUGUUUAGAAAGAGCUCGUCCAUUUCCAUGGUCUUUAUAAAAGGUGCUAAGGACAACUCUUAAGAAGCCAAGGCAUCUGGAAUAAGUAUUUUUUUCCUUUUUUAUUUUUUAAGCUAUAAUGUUACAUACAUAUAAUGUGAAAAGUGAAAAUGAAAUAGUUGUUAUCAGUGUUUUGCCAUUCCUAAACUUUCAUGUACCUUGGUGAGACCCAUUUUAAAAUAUUUAAGAUCAUCUUUCUUACCAAAAGCUGAUACAGUAUUCAGUAAUAAAAACCUCGAGCAGCUGAAUUCUCGGAAAGCUGAACUUAAAGAUUAUUAUUGAAAUUUAACCCUGACAGAAUUUUUAAGCUGUUUUCUUUGUGCUUUAUAAGCACUGCUCUUUGACAGUUAAAAAAUCUGUUUAAUAAAUGUGAACUCAAACCAGAUAUUGUUGUAGGUAUUUAUAAACUUUGUAUUCCUUCUGCAGUUUAUAUAUCUUAUUUUCUUUGUAAAGCACUAGUUUUUAAGGCAACUUUAGUAUUUCCUUAAGGUACUCAAAGGCUAGUUAGAAGACUUUUGCUCCUUAUUAAAAGAAAGAAAAUAAUAGGUACGGAAAAAGAACCAUAGGUAUGGAAUGAUAGUAUACUGUUUGGAUAUUGUUUAAGACAUUUUUCCUGAAAGAAGCUUGUAUAUGGAAAUGUUUUUCAAUAUGUGUUUUUUUUCAAGUUGGUACAAACUGCCUUAUGAUUGUAUACCUUUUGUAAUAUCACUGUUUCUGAAAUACGUUUCUUGCAAACACAGCAUCUUAUGGCCUAGCAGUACUAUAAUGAUAAUCAGGAAGAGACUGUGGAUGUUGUGGAUGUUGUCUGCCUGGACUUCAGCAAUGUCUUUGACAUUGUCUCCCACAGCACUGUCCUGGAAAAUGACAAGUGCAGCCUUCAUUUUGUUAAGAUGACCAGGCUGGAUAGCCAGACCUAGAGGGUGCUGGUGAAUUCAGUUGGCAUCCAGGUGCUGGCAGCAUUUCCUAGGGAUCAGUGUUGGGCCCAGUCCUGAUUAAUAUCUCCCUUGGUGAUCUGGAUGAGGAGAGUGAGUGUGUCCUCAAUAAAUUCACAGAUGACACCAAGCUGGGCAGUAGUGUUGAUCUGCUGUAGGGCUGGAAGGCUCUGUGAGGGGACCUGUUUAGGCUGGAGACCAGCGCCAAGGCAUUCAACAAGGCCAAGUGCUGAGAUCUGCUCUUGGGCUACAACAACUCCAAGCUGGGGCAGAGUGACAGGAAAGUGGUCCAGCAGAAAAGGAUCUGGGGGUUCUGGUGACAGCAGCUGAACAUGAGCCAGCAGUGCCCAGAGGGCCAAGAAGGCCAAUGGCAUCCUGGCCUGUACCACCAAGUGUGGCCAGCAGGAGCAGAUAAGGGAUUAUCCCCCUGUCCUUGGCACUGGUGAGGCCACACCUCCAAUCUUGUGUUCAAUUUUGGGCCUCUGAGUUCAGGAAGGAGACAGUGAGAUACAGGAGUGUAUCCAGAGAAGGGAAAUGGAGCUGGUUUGGAGCACAGGUCCUGUGAGUAAUGGCUGAGGGAGCUGGAAUUGUUUAGCCUGGAGAAAGUAGACCGAGGGGCGACCUUGUCUCUCUAACAACUGCCUGGGUGGGGGUCAGCCUCUUUUUCCAGGAGGAAAGAAUGUAGUUCUAAGGUACACGAGGGGAAGUUUAGGUAGGGAAGCAGGAAGAAAUUCUUCGCAGAAAGGGUGAUCAGAUAUUGAAUGAGCUGCCCAGGGAGAUGAUGGAGUCACUAUCCCUGCGGGUGUGUAAGGAAAGACUGAAUGUGACAUUCAGUGCCAUGAUCUAGUUGACAUAGUGGUGUUCAGUUAGAGGUUGGACAAUCAGGUUUUUUCCAUCCUAAUUGGUCCUGUGAUAAUACAAGUAUCAACCUUAACAAUGUCCUUUUGAAUCUGGUGGCUCUUGCCAUUCACUUGAGUAAUUUCUCCUGUUCCUAAUCUAGUAGAAAAUGAUGCUUCAGCCACCGAUCACAAUACCAAUGUGACUACUGUGAAAGAUCAAAAAAUUUGAGAAUCCACUACUGCAAUGGAGCCAAUUAACCAAUAGUCUACAAAUUACCUGUGUGCAGCAAACAUUUAUUUCUCCCAGGAUUAUUUCCAUUGCAGCCAUGAGCAAUGAUAGAGCAGUGGCCCUUCUUGCAGCUACUUAUAGAUGGUGAAUAGUGUUUCAAAAGCUUUCAGAUCUUGUAGAAGUUCUUUUCAUCAGGUUUUGACAGAUGAAAUUUUGAUAGCUGUAAUGCUAGUAUGCAUUGGGAAAGUACAAUAUUUAAAUAGAAGUUAAUUGCUUACCUUUGAAGGCUUACCUGUGAGCUUUCUGUGAUGUGAUUUAAGUGCUUAUUUAUGUUAUGAAUAUACCACUUUCUGUUUGAAAGAGAAUGUUCCUGUGUUGAAAAGCUUCUGUUAUGCAGAUGCUAUUAAAAUCAUAGUUUCCACAGAAGUGCUACUAGAAUUUAAACAUGAAAAGUAAGAAUUUGUGAUAAAAAUUAUUAUCAUUCUGUAAUUUAGAUGAUUCUCAGAUUCAGACCCAGAAACUAAUUUAUAGAGGAAAGACUAUUUGUUUCCAUUUCUGAAUACAUCAAAACUUUGCAAACUGCAACUGCACUAAAGUGACAUUCUAACUUGUCAUGGACUCUGUACUCUGAUUCUUAGGGUACUGGCUUAUUAAUUGAUGCUUUGAAUACAAGUUAUCAGUUUGCAAGCAUGGGGAUAUAAGAUUUACAAAUAAGAUAUUCCAAAAGUAGCUAUCAUGACAAGAUAAAAGAUGAGUAAGCACUGAAGAUGUGAAAAGUUAAAGAAGCUCAAGAUGUCACAAAAAUGUUCUGUCCAUAUAAGAAAAAGUGCCAUUAAGUAGGCUUUGAUCAAGUUACAGGAGCCAAAUUUUUGUGCGGAACUAUUGCUUUAGCCAUGCAAUAGUUUUAUCAGUCACUCCAGCAUUUGUAAAUAAUUUCUACAGAUAAAUUAGACUGCAAUAAAGAAGUUGGAUAAUCUUGCAACAGUAUUGCCACUUUUUCUUUCUUUCCUUUGACUUUUCCAUGUCAAAAUAUUCUCAGGAGUUACCUGUGACAGGAUGUAGACUACGCACUAAAGUGGACUCUCAAUAAAUUAAAAUGUCCAGUGUAGAUAGACAUGUGGAAAAGAUUUGGAACCAAGUAUGAGUAAUCAAUGAACACAUUUUUACCAUAAGCUGUUUCAGCAGAAUAUGGUAUCUUGCUUACUGUAUUCAGAUGCUGAAAGAAAAAUCUCACUAAAAUCAGAAAUGAGAAGAUUUUAAUAAAAAGCUGGUGGACUCAUAGCAAACUCUAGGACUUGUACUUUGAAUAAAGAUUUUUUUUUCAAAUAUCCCAUUGAAAAUAUGGCAGUGAAUCUUCUGCUGUUUUUGUGUAAGCCAGUGUCUUACCACUUGAGAUUUCUCAUAGGAAAGGAUGAGAUAUGCAUUAAAAUUGAGAGAGCUAGAAAAUUGAGAUACAUAGAUUUGGAAGCAUGUAUUUUACUUGAUAGAAUACAUGAUGAUUACAGAGCUUGGGAUGUGUCUCGAGUAAACCCAUUUCCUACCAGAACACAUUUUUGAUCUAAAUAAGAAAAAAAAUUACACCAUUGUCUAUAACAAUUGUUCCUUCACAAAGUGUAUUCCCCGUGUAUAAAAAUUUUAGAUGGGA
Zonotrichia albicollis (white-throated sparrow) is the source of this 21527-nucleotide non-coding RNA. The record is from RefSeq and is a predicted model, not a curated record. NCBI's taxonomy places the organism in Eukaryota, Metazoa, Chordata, Aves, Passeriformes, Passerellidae.